AUAAUUAUCUCGGCCUUUUGGCUAAGAUCAAAUGUAGAAUCUAUUCUUAUCAGUUUAACAUCUGAUAUGUCCUCUAUCUCAGGAAAUACACUAAAUGGAUUCUUGGAACUAGGAGUUAGAAUUGGAGGCUCAGAUAGUAAAGAAUCCACCUGCAAUGCAGGAGACCUGAGUUCGAUCCCUU
This 181-nucleotide small nuclear RNA is filed under the name Moschus moschiferus (Siberian musk deer). RNAcentral's name for it is "U2 spliceosomal RNA (ENSMMSG00000009797.1)". It matches the Rfam family "U2 spliceosomal RNA". From Rfam's summary of the family: U2 is a small nuclear RNA (snRNA) component of the spliceosome (involved in pre-mRNA splicing). Complementary binding between U2 snRNA (in an area lying towards the 5' end but 3' to hairpin I) and the branchpoint sequence (BPS) of the intron results the bulging out of an unpaired adenosine, on the BPS, which initiates a nucleophilic attack at the intronic 5' splice site, thus starting the first of two transesterification reactions that mediate splicing. The record is from Rfam by way of RNAcentral. Lineage: Eukaryota; Metazoa; Chordata; Mammalia; Artiodactyla; Moschidae.